GGAGGAUCCAAGCGUUAUCCGGAAUCAUUGGGUUUAAAGGGUCCGUAGGCGGUUUAGUAAGUCAGUGGUGAAAGCCCAUCGCUCAACGGUGGAACGGCCAUUGAUACUGCUAGACUUGAAUUAUUAGGAAGUAACUAGAAUAUGUAGUGUAGCGGUGAAAUGCUUAGAGAUUACAUGGAAUACCAAUUGCGAAGGCAGGUUACUACUAAUUGAUUGACGCUGAUGGACGAAAGCGUGGGUAGCGAACAGGAUUAGAUACCCUGGUAGUCCACGCCGUAAACGAUGGAUACUAGCUGUUGGGGGCAACUUCAGUGGCUAAGCGAAAGUGAUAAGUAUCCCACCUGGGGAGUACGAACGCAAGUUG
RNAcentral lists this ribosomal RNA (364 nucleotides) under uncultured bacterium. Its description in RNAcentral is "bacterial SSU rRNA". It matches the Rfam family "Bacterial small subunit ribosomal RNA", at positions 527 to 895 of the family's 1533-position model. The record is from RNAcentral.